Molecule: transfer RNA, 76 nt
Filed under: Escherichia coli
Lineage: Bacteria; Pseudomonadati; Pseudomonadota; Gammaproteobacteria; Enterobacterales; Enterobacteriaceae
Also listed under: 7 other names
Description: tRNA-Lys
Rfam family: tRNA
About the family: Transfer RNA (tRNA) molecules are approximately 80 nucleotides in length. Their secondary structure includes four short double-helical elements and three loops (D, anti-codon, and T loops).
Source: RNAcentral
GGGUCGUUAGCUCAGUUGGUAGAGCAGUUGACUUUUAAUCAAUUGGUAGCAGGUUCGAAUCCUGCACGACCCACCA